Non-coding RNA from Callithrix jacchus (white-tufted-ear marmoset), 4457 nucleotides. NCBI's taxonomy places the organism in Eukaryota, Metazoa, Chordata, Mammalia, Primates, Cebidae. The record is from RefSeq and is a predicted model, not a curated record.
AUGUGAUAUCUAGCAUUUAACUUUAAUUAAAACUCUAACCAAUGCUGAAGUUAGUCUGCUAUCCAAAAAUUGAAUUAUUUUAUAUGUUUUAUUGCAUUUAUCACUUUUCUAUAAGUCAAUUUAUCAUUCCCUCACUAAGACAAUGAUUCUAUAGAAGGAACACUGAAGGAAAAUUGUUUAAUUUAUUAUGAAAGUAGCAAGAGUAGAUUUAUCACAGCUAAUUUUCUGAACUUUCCUGUAGUAUCUACCUCUAAAUUUCUAGAUAGCCAGUUUCUCUUUAGAUUUUCAAUAGGAAUUAUUUAGGAAUUUGGCUUCUCAAAAUAACAUAAUUUAAUUUAGAUUACUGUAAUGAUAUAAAACCAUUAAAGAAAGAAUCUCUUUAUAUGGAUUUUAAGCUACAUUAUAAGAUUCUGACACUUAUAAAGCUUAAAUACAGCUACUGAGACAGCCAGUUAUAAGGCCACUAUAUCAGGGAAACAUAUUUAAAACUCAAGUUUACUUAUAUACUGAAAGUCUUAUCAUCUCCUUGUCUUUGCUCUCCCAGCAUUAACUAUAUCCCUACUAUCAUUCAAAAGAUCCAAAUUCCAUCCAUUUUACAAGGUCCAUUUGGUUUUCUACCUAAUUCAAAAAGAUCUUCAGAUUACUUCUGUUCACAGUGAUACAACUUGUAUUGCUUUGUAGUGAAUCUCAAACAGUUUAAUAAUUAUUUAAAUAUUUUAAUGUUUUAUGGAUCUUCUACUUUGCUUAUAAGCUACUUGGGAGCAGUAUCUUUGUUUCAUAUUUAUUUACUGUAAGUGGCUAUCAUAACAUUGGACAUAUUGCUGAAUCUCCUCAACAUACAAUUCACAUGACCACUAAAUGAAAACUUCUCCAGCUUGAUGCCUCAUAUGGAUUCUUGCUGAUUUCACCUCAUAACGCAAAGUGUUAAACUAAAAAUUUAGAUUAAAUCUGCAAACUAUUUCACACACAGCAUUUUCAUGACAAUUGAAAAAAUAUAUUCACAAUAAUAUCAUGUAACUGUAUUAGGUAGGCAGCAGAGGACACACUUAAAAUAUGUGAAGAAACAAUCAUCUGGUCUCAGUACAGUGUUCUCUUGCUGCUCUGCUGCCCCACUCCUCUGCCAGUCGCAUUGGAAGAAGCAUCGGCAAUGGUUCUGGCAUGUGCAAAGCUGGCUUUGCUGAGGAGGACGCCCCCCGAGCCAUCUUUCCCUCCAUUGUUGGGCACCCUCGUACCAGGGUGUGAUGGUUGGCAUGGGCCAGAAGAACUCCUACAUGGGCGACAAGGCCCAAAGCAAGCACGGCAUCCUGACCCUGAAGUACCCCAUUGAGCAUGGCAUUGUCACCAAUUGGGAUGACACGGAGAAAAUCUGGCACCACAUGUUCUACAACAAGCUGCGUGUGGCCCUGGAGGAGCACCCCAUGCUGCUGACUGAGGCCCCUCUGAACCCCAAGGCCAACAGAGAGAAGAUGACUCAGAUCCUGUUUGAGACCUUCAACACCCCAGCCAUGUAUGUGGCUAUCCAGGCCAUGCUGUCCCUCUAUGCCUCUGGGCACACCACUGGCAUUGUCAUGGACUCUGGAGACGGGGUCACCCACACGGUGCCCAUUUAAGAGGGCUGUGCCCUUCUCCACACUAUCCUGCAUCUGGACCUGGCUGGCCAGGACCUGACCAACUACCUCAUGAAGAUCCUCACCUAGCGCAGCUACAGCUUCACCACCACGGCUGAGCGGGAGACCAUCCAUGACAUCAAGGAGAAGCUGUGCUACGUCACCCUGGACUUCGAGCAGGAGAUGACCAUAGCUGCAUCCUCCUCCUCUCUGGAGAAGAGCUAUGAGCUGCCUGAUGGCCAGGUCAUCACCAUUGGUAAUGAACGGUUCCGGUGUCUAGAGGCGCUGUUCCAGCCUUCCUUUCUCAGCAUGGAAUCUUGUGGCAUCCAUGAGAUCACCUUCAACUCCAUCAUGAAGUGUGAUGUGGACAUCCAUAAAGACCUGUACGCCAAUGCUGUGCUGUCUGGUGGCACCACAAUGUACCCAGGCAUCACAGACAGGAUGCAGAAGGAGAUCACCACCCUGGCACCCAGCACCAUAAAGAUCAAGAUUAUUGCACCCCCAGAGCAUAAGUACUCCAUGUGGAUUGGCGGCUCCAUCCUGGCCUCACUGUCCACCUUCCCGGUGGAUUAGCAAGAUGUGGAUUAGCAAGCAGAAGUACGAUGAGUCUGGCCCCUCCAUCGUCCACUGCAAAUGCUUCUAAAUGGACUGCGAGCAGAUGCAUAGCAUUUGCUGCAUGAGUUAAUUCGGCAGUAUAAAUUUGCCACUGGCCAAUGCAUACACCUCAUGCUAACCUCACAAAACUGGAAUAAGCCUUUAAAAAGAAAUUGUCCUUGAAGCUUGUAUCUGAUAUCAGCACUGGAUUGUAGAACUUGUUGCUGAUUUUGACCUUGUAUUCAAGUCAACUGUUCCCCUUGUUAUUUAAUAACCUGUACAUGUCUUUGAUUUCAACCUUUAUAGUACAUGUGACUUGGUCACUCGUGGCUGAUGUAAAAACGUGCUUGUGGACAGACAAGUCUGGCUUGGUGAGUCUGUGUGGCCAGCAGACUCCUAUCUGUGCAGGGUAUUCAUGUGUCAAGGCUGAGUGUUCUGGGAUUGCUUUACAGGCUGGCAAAGUCCAAGCCAUAGGACCCGGUUUCCUUUCUUAGCUGAUGUUUUCCUGCCAGAGCAAUGUGGACUAUUACUUGCCUUGAGUUGGAAGCAGUUUGCAUUUACACCUGUAAAUGUAUUCAUCCUUUUAAUUUAUGUAAGUUUUAAUUUAUGCAACUCUCGAUUCUUUAAAGAGAUGACACAAAUUUUGGUUUUCUACUGUUAUGUGAGAACAUUUGGCCCCAGCAACACGUCAUUGUGUAAGGAAAAAUUAAAGUGCUUCCAUAAAAAAAAAGAAAAGAAAAAGAAACAAUCAUCUAAAAGUCUUCAUGAUUGUUACAUUUUUCAUUAGAAACAUCCUUAUAGGCCGGGCGCGGUGGCUCAAGCCUGUAAUCCCAGCACUGUGGGAGGCUGAGGCGGGUGGAUCACGACGAGGUCAAGAGAUCAAGACCAUCCUGGUCAACAUGGUGAAACCCCGUCUCUAUUAAAAAUACAAAAAAUUAGCUGGGCGUGGUGGUGCGCGCCUAUAAUCCCAGCUACUCAGGAGGCUGAGGCAGAAGAAUUGCCUGAACCCAGGAGGCGGAGGUUGCGGUGAGCCGAGAUUGCGCCAUUGCACUCCAGCCUGGGUAACAAGAGAGAAACUCCAUCUCAAAAAACAAACAAACAAACACACAGAAACAUCCUUAUAGAAGAGGGAGUAUAGGAAAUAUAAUUGAAAUUCUCCUUUCUUAUUAUAUUCUCCCACUCCUAAUAAUUGCCUUCUAGAUCCUUGAAGAAUCCCUAUCUUGCUUUUGCAUAAAGAUCUUUUACCCUGCAGGUAAAAAUCUGUCAUUUGAAAGUAAAGUUUGAUUUUUUUAUAUGUAAGUAUGUUGAAAUAUGUGUCAGUUUAUCCAUUGACAUUUUUAUGUGUUUUUUAAAUAUAUCCUCAAUUUUUUUUACCUGACUAUAUCUUUGUUGGAUAUAUAUAAAUUCAAAAUACUGUGGAUUUAUAAAUGCAAAACUUCUUAAGUAAAAAAUGGAAUCUAGAUAUUCUGCAAAAUUGUUCAAAACAAAAUUAUAGUUUUUAGUUAAGGGUCAAAGAGCUGUUUAAUUUUUCAAAGGAAAAAUAGUUCCACAUCUUAAGCAAGCCCUUCUGGGCAUGACAGAAAAAGUCAAUAAAUACAAUGUAUUCUGUGGAACUUACCCAACCCCUGAAAAGUUCCUGUAUCUUCUAAAUAUAUAAUUUGUAACUACAUAUGAAUAUGUAUUUUGCCACUGAUGCUUUAUUCUUUUUAGAUUUGUAAUUUUUCUUCAUAAAAUUAUUUAAAUUUUUAAAAAAUUUUAUUUAAUUCAUUAUUUAUUUUGAGUAGGGUCUCAUUCUGUCAUGCAGGAUAAAGUGCAGUGACAUGACAUAAUCAUGGCUCUCUGCAGCCUCAACCUCUUGGGCUCAAGUGAUUCUUCCACUUUAGUCUCCCAAAUAGCUGGGACCACAGUUGUGUACCUCCACUCCUGGCUAAUUUAUUUUUUGCUGAGGUGGGGAUCUGCUUAUGUUGUCCAGGCUGAUCUCAAACUCCUGGUUUCAGAUGAUGCUUCUGCCUAGGCCUCCUAAAGUGCUAGGAUUAUAGUUGUGAAUAUUUAUGAGUUACAUGAGAUACUUUGACACAGGCAUGCAGUGUGUAAUAAUCACAUCAAGGUAAAGGGGAAUCCAUCACAUCAAGCAUUUAACCUUUGUGUUACAAACAAUCCAGUAAUACUCUUGGUAAUUUUUAAAUGUACAAUUAAAUCCCUUUUAACAAUAGUCACUCUCUGUGCUAGCAAACACUAGGUUUUUUUUUUUUUUUU